This 355-nucleotide transfer-messenger RNA is filed under the name Gammaproteobacteria bacterium. It matches the Rfam family "transfer-messenger RNA". From Rfam's summary of the family: Bacterial tmRNA, also known as 10Sa RNA or SsrA, is named for its dual tRNA and mRNA-like properties. Its role is to liberate the mRNA from a stalled ribosome. To accomplish this part of the tmRNA is used as a reading frame that ends in a translation stop signal. Lineage: Bacteria; Pseudomonadati; Pseudomonadota; Gammaproteobacteria. The record is from RNAcentral.
GGGGGCGAAAUGGCUUCGACGAAGGUAACGAAGUCCUAGGUGCAUGCCGAGAGGGUAGUGACUCUCGUUAAACAAUCGCUGCAACUUUAUAUAGUUGCCAACGACAAUAACUACGCACUAGCCGCUUAGUCGGCUAACCGCGGGGACUCGAUGCCUGUGCCGGGACCCGCGGGCAAGUUCACAGGAUCGCGAGGCACGCAAGCCUUAAGUGCGCCGAGCUAAAAAAAUUAUAGGCUCGUCCGAUACACCCUGCUCGUCGGGUCGUUGAUGGACUAAAUCAAUAGACGAAACUAAGCAUGUAGAGCCGAAGACCGAGUGCCGGCGGACGCGGGUUCGACUCCCGCCGCCUCCACCA